AGUGAACGCUGGCGGUAGGCCUAACACAUGCAAGUCGAACGGCAGCACAGUAGGAGCUUGCUCUUACGGGUGGCGAGUGGCGGACGGGUGAGGAAUACAUCGGAAUCUACUUUUUCGUGGGGGAUAACGUAGGGAAACUCACGCUAAUACCGCAUACGACCUACGGGUGAAAGCAGGGGAUCUUCGGACCUUGCGCGAUUGAAUGAGCCGAUGUCGGAUUAGCUAGUUGGCGGGGUAAAGGCCCACCAAGGCGACGAUCCGUAGCUGGUCUGAGAGGAUGAUCAGCCACACUGGAACUGAGACACGGUCCAGACUCCUACGGGAGGCAGCAGUGGGGAAUAUUGGACAAUGGGCGCAAGCCUGAUCCAGCCAUACCGCGUGGGUGAAGAAGGCCUUCGGGUUGUAAAGCCCUUUUGUUGGGAAAGAAAAGCAGCAGGUUAAUACCCCGCUGUUCUGACGGUACCCAAAGAAUAAGCACCGGCUAACUUCGUG
RNAcentral lists this ribosomal RNA (492 nucleotides) under uncultured bacterium. RNAcentral's name for it is "partial 16S ribosomal RNA". It matches the Rfam family "Bacterial small subunit ribosomal RNA", at positions 29 to 507 of the family's 1533-position model. The record is from RNAcentral.